This 288-nucleotide ribosomal RNA is filed under the name bacterium enrichment culture. Its description in RNAcentral is "partial 16S ribosomal RNA". It matches the Rfam family "Bacterial small subunit ribosomal RNA", at positions 1163 to 1450 of the family's 1533-position model. The record is from RNAcentral.
CCGGAGGAAGGUGGGGAUGACGUCAANUCCUCAUGGCCCUUAUAGGUGGGGCUACACACGUCAUACAAUGGCCGGUACAAAGGGCAGCCAACCCGCGAGGGGGAGCCAAUCCCAUAAAGCCGGUCGUAGUCCGGAUNGCAGUCNGCAACUCGACUGCGUGAAGUCGGAAUCGCUAGUAAUCGUGGAUCAGCAUGUCNCGGUGAAUACGUUCCCGGGUCUUGUACACNCCGCCCGUCACNCCAUGGGAGCGGGUCUNNCCAGAAGUAGGUAGCCUAACNGCAAGGAGGG